This 253-nucleotide ribosomal RNA is filed under the name uncultured bacterium. RNAcentral describes it as "partial 16S ribosomal RNA". It matches the Rfam family "Bacterial small subunit ribosomal RNA", at positions 524 to 776 of the family's 1533-position model. The record is from RNAcentral.
UACGUAGGUGGCAAGCGUUGUCCGGAUUUACUGGGCGUAAAGAGCGCGCAGGCGGUCGUUCAAGUCGCGUGUGAAAGCCCCCGGCUCAACUGGGCAGGGUCACGCGAUACUGAUCGACUCGAAGGCAGGAGAGGGAAGUGGAAUUCCCGGUGUAGUGGUGAAAUGCGUAGAUAUCGGGAGGAACACCAGUGGCGAAGGCGACUUCCUGGCCUGUUCUUGACGCUGAGGCGCGAAAGCUAGGGGAGCAAACGGG